RNAcentral lists this ribosomal RNA (466 nucleotides) under uncultured bacterium. Its description in RNAcentral is "bacterial SSU rRNA". It matches the Rfam family "Bacterial small subunit ribosomal RNA", at positions 329 to 792 of the family's 1533-position model. The record is from RNAcentral.
UGCCAGACUCCUACGGGAGGCAGCAGUGAGGAAUAUUGGUCAAUGGGCUUACGCCUGAACCAGCCAAGUCGCGUGAGGGAAGACUGCCCUAUGGGUUGUAAACCUCUUUUGUCAGGGAGCAACGCCGGCUACGUGUAGCCGGACUGAGAGUACCUGAAGAAAAAGCAUCGGCUAACUCCGUGCCAGCAGCCGCGGUAAUACGGAGGAUGCGAGCGUUAUCCGGAUUUAUUGGGUUUAAAGGGUGCGUAGGCGGUCCGUUAAGUCAGCGUAAAAAUGGCGGGGCUCAACCCCGUCGAGCCGUUGAAACUGGCAGACUUGAGUUGGCGAGAAGUACGCGGAAUGCGCGGUGUAGCGGUGAAAUGCAUAGAUAUCGCGCAGAACUCCGAUUGCGAAGGCAGCGUACCGGCGCCAGACUGACGCUGAGGCACGAAAGCGUGGGGAUCGAACAGGAUUAGAUACCCGUGUA